UAAACCUGGAGCAACAAUAGUGGAAUCAACAAAACAGCGAGAUGGUUUCUGCUUUUAAAUCAUUCCUGCAAAUACCUCUUCCAAAAAGUAUACUCUUGAACAUUGAAAUCCAUUCUAUGCUGUACCUUCCAAACUUGCUUUUUUCUUUGAUAUAAAGAUGAUUUGAAAUUACUCUUUUGGAAAUGCAGUAUUGUUAUAAUAAGAUAUGAUUGCAGAGUUUAAGUGAAUAAUGAAAAGCCACAAAUGAAGCAGAAUAAUGCAAGAGUUUUGAAGAAGGAACAUUAUAAAAUACUUCCUAGUUAAAAGCUUCGCUUAUUUGCGACGUUACAGCUUUAAGAAGGCAAAUGUAAGAAAAUUUAAUCUAAAAAUGGUCAUACUUCAAAAAACACUCAGUAGGAAUGCUAUUAUUAAUACAUAGUACGUAAAGACCGCCUAAAAGGAGAGGCCUGGGUCACCCCUUGUAUAAGAUGUUUGGCCAUUAUUCUGAUUUACAAGAUUGGUUUCCUCCUAUUAAUUAUUAUUCCGAUUAUUAAUAUCCUAUUCCUCCGAUUAUUAAUAUCCUAUUAAAGAUUUGAAUUUGAAGAAUUGAUAGAUGAAUAUAGGGAUCCAAGGCAGUAAAAUUUGAAUAUAAGCAACAAUGCAUCUGGACAUAUUAAGUAUUUUUUUAUAUCUAAAAUUUUAUUUCUUUUUGGGUAUAUAUAUUUUUACUAGUUUUUAAUGUUCAUCAGUGUCUUUUAUUUAUUCUAAAUCUCUGUUUUUUUAAACUUACAGCUAUUGAAAAAAAAAUGUGUUUGAUUUUUGUGCAUUGUAUUUUUAGAACUAAUGUUAUCUACUUUCUUUUAGUGAUAACGCAGCUACCUAUGGUUAAGUGUUAGAAGUUUAUAUUUCAAUUUACAUAGUCACAGUUUAAGAAAUAGAAUUAUAUAUUUAUUAUAACAUAUUAUAAUAAACGGAAGGAGAAAUGAGACUUGACUUAUUAACCAUAUAUCACAAAAAGUGUUAACAGCUUCUACAAUAUUAUGUAAAUUGGGUAUUUCAUGCUAUUGUGCAUGUAUACAGUGAAGAAAUAAGAAGAAAAUCUUUCAUUUGCAUCUUAACAAAGCGUCCUGUCUUUUCAAAUUUUUCCUUUGGCGCGCUUAAUUGAUUACAGCGCCAUACUUGUUUAGUGAAAAUAUUUUCUAAUCGAUUGCGACGCCACCGUACGGAAAGUUUUAAAAAUCUAAUAAUACAGCGAAGAGAGCUUGCUAUGAGCAAGAAAGAAGAAUACAUCAAGUAAAAUGGAGAGAAAUAAGAUUUUCUUUUGAGAAAAUAUCUUCAGGUCAAAGAAUAAUUUCAUAAGAACACCUCACCGAUUGUACCCUGCUCUUCAAUGAAAGUGUGUGCCAAAUAAAGAGUAAACCUGAAGCAACAAUAUUGGAAUCAACAAAACAGCGAGAUGGUUUCAGCUUUCAAAUCAUUCCUGCAAAUACCUCUUUCAAAAAUUAUAUUCUCGAACAUUGAAAUCCAUUCUAUGAUGUACCUCCCAAACCUGCUUUUUUCUUUGAUAUAAAGAUGAUUUGAAAUUACUAUUUUCUAAAUGCAGUAUUGUUAUGAAGAUAUUAUUGCAGUAUAUAAUAUAAGAAAUAUCUGCAAGUACUGGAAAUAUGGACAUACGGUAUACAUCAGAAAGAAAACGGUAUAGACGAAUCUAUAAUCGAAGGACUUUCAUUCUAGUUGGCUGUUUAUAUGUCUAAAAAUAAAUCUAUAAUUAUUAUAUUAAUGUUAAUUGUAUUUAUAAACUAUUAUUUUUC
Long non-coding RNA from Sitophilus oryzae (rice weevil), 1790 nucleotides. RefSeq lists it as uncharacterized. The transcript has 7 exons. Lineage: Eukaryota; Metazoa; Arthropoda; Insecta; Coleoptera; Curculionidae. The record is from RefSeq and is a predicted model, not a curated record.